This 425-nucleotide ribosomal RNA is filed under the name uncultured bacterium. RNAcentral describes it as "bacterial SSU rRNA". It matches the Rfam family "Bacterial small subunit ribosomal RNA", at positions 354 to 796 of the family's 1533-position model. The record is from RNAcentral.
GUGAGGAAUAUUGGACAAUGGGCGAAAGCCUGAUCCAGCCAUGCCGCGUGAGUGAUGAAGGCCUUAGGGUUGUAAAGCUCUUUCAGUAGGGAAGAUAAUGACGGUACCUACAGAAGAAGCCCCGGCUAACUUCGUGCCAGCAGCCGCGGUAAUACGAAGGGGGCUAGCGUUGUUCGGAUUUACUGGGCGUAAAGCGCACGUAGGCGGAUUGGUCAGUUAGAGGUGAAAUCCUGGAGCUCAACUCCAGAACUGCCUUUAAUACUGCCAGUCUAGAGUCCAGAAGAGGUGAGUGGAACUCCGAGUGUAGAGGUGGAAUUCGUAGAUAUUAGGAAGAACACCAGUGGCGAAGGCGGCUCACUGGUCUGGUACUGACGCUGAGGUGCGAAAGCGUGGGGAGCAAACAGGAUUAGAAACCCGGGUAGUCC